CCUACGGGUGGCAGCAGUGGGGAAUAUUGGACAAUGGGCGAAAGCCUGAUCCAGCCAUGCCGCGUGAGUGAAGAAGGCCUUCGGGUUGUAAAGCACUUUCAGUGGGGAAGAAAGCCUUGGGGCUAAUACCCUCGAGGAAGGACAUCACCCACAGAAGAAGCACCGGCUAACUCCGUGCCAGCAGCCGCGGUAAUACGGAGGGUGCGAGCGUUAAUCGGAAUUACUGGGCGUAAAGCGCGCGUAGGCGGUCUGAUAAGCCGGUUGUGAAAGCCCCGGGCUCAACCUGGGAACGGCAUCCGGAACUGUCAGGCUAGAGUGCAGGAGAGGAAGGUAGAAUUCCCGGUGUAGCGGUGAAAUGCGUAGAGAUCGGGAGGAAUACCAGUGGCGAAGGCGGCCUUCUGGACUGACACUGACGCUGAGGUGCGAAAGCGUGGGUAGCAAACAGGAUUAGAUACCCUUGUAGUC
Molecule: ribosomal RNA, 465 nt
Filed under: Vreelandella stevensii
Lineage: Bacteria; Pseudomonadati; Pseudomonadota; Gammaproteobacteria; Oceanospirillales; Halomonadaceae
Description: partial 16S ribosomal RNA
Rfam family: Bacterial small subunit ribosomal RNA
Source: RNAcentral